GCCGGGCCGGCUUUGCGGCAGGACGCGGCCCCGCCGAGGAGGGGCCGAGCCGAGCCGGGCCGUGCCUGCGCGCCGGCGGCUCCGCUCCGCUCGGCUCGGCUUGGGCCGGGGGCGAGCUGCGGGGAGCCCCUUCCUCGGAGCAUGGGCGGCCAGGUAACCUGCUGUCACGAUGAGGUUACUUCACAGAGUGACUAAAGCCAACACGAUCAGUGGGUGUUAAGUCUCACAUCUGAAGACAAGGGUUGGUUUGGUUCUGUUCCACCACAAAGGAUUGUGGUUGGUGCAUGUCUUUGUUAAUCUCUACGUGUGCCAAGGGCAGGCGUGAAGCAGCUCUUUCCCUUGGGCCCCGUGGCAGCCCAGGAUAUGGAGGCUCUUGAAGUUGAUGACAUUAGCCCUGCCUUGGAAGUGACUGAAGACUUUUUCAAUAGUUUUGAUACUAAGCUUGAAAAGAUCGUUCAGCCCUCUGAGGUGUAUGGCGUGCAGGAGGUUCCUGAGCUGGUUGGGCAUGAGGUAUUUGAUCAGAUAACAGAAAGCAGGAAUCUGAGGAAUGUCACCUCCUUAGCCAAAAGUAACCUCAUCUGGGAUCACUGCAAAAAUGGCCUGUUGGAAACCAAAGCUCAGACAGCGUUUCCUGCCAAAGAGCAGCGCAUGGUGCAGAGGGGAACCGCUGCUGACAGCCUUGCUUGGGCAGGGGAAGGGGAGACUGCAGCUUUUAACAUCUUCAAUAUCUGCCAGCGGAGGAGAGACAGGCCUCGCUCAGUGAAUGACAUCCUGGUGCAGAAUGAGGAAUCCUCCAAGUUCAAGCCAGGGCACAACAGGUCGCGCUCUGAUAUCAGCCAUGUGAACUGGGGAAUGGUCUUCACGGGCACCUCUCUGCAGCGGCCACCUCUGCCUGGUCAGGACAAUAACUGCACUCUGCUCUCUUACCUGGCAUUAACCAAGGGAGAGGACAUCCAAGGAAACACAGAACACAAGACAACGUUUCCAAAUAUUCUGAAGAAGGGAUACUUAGAAAUUAGAAGAAACAAUGACAGCUACUGGCAAACGUGUUAUGCUGAGCUCUCCCCAUACAAACUGUACCUGUAUUGCCUGGACAGCAGUGGCAACCAGACUCUUCCCACCGUGUAUCCGCUCAUUAAUUUUCAAAGGGUCACUGUUACUGGUAGCAUUGAAGCCAAGGUGGUGGACGCUGCCCUGUCAGACAGCUCUCAGCUACAGCUGAAGGCAGAGUCCUCAUGGGAGGCUUUGGACUGGGGACGGAAACUCUGGGAAGCUGCGCGUGCUUCUGUGUCUACUUUCACAAGACAACAGGAGAAACUGGAGAAUGUGCCAAAGCCUGACAAUAGCAGUGACCUUUCUCAAACAAAUGGAUUGGUAGAGAAGCCCAUGGAACUUUUGCUGUCCAUGAAUUUGACUGAAAAUAAUAAAGAGUACCAAAAUAUUCUCAAAUCAGGGACUCUUUACAGGUUAACUGUCCAGAAUAACUGGAAGGCAUUUACUUUUGUCUUGAACAGGUCUUAUCUCAUGGCAUUCCAACCGGGUAGGCUUGAUGAAGAUCCUCUGCUGAGCUACAAUAUCGAUGUGUGCCUGUCAGUCCAGACAGAUACUCAGGAUGGCUGUGACUCUUGCUUUCAGGUCAUUUUUCCUCAAGAUGUCCUCCGCCUGCGAGCAGAGACCCGUCAGAGGGCCUUGGAGUGGAUGGAGGCACUGAGAGCAGCAGCCAAUGCCACUAGAAGUUUAGGUCAGAACAUGCAGGUCACGCUUCGGAACAAACCUGGAGAUCGGCCCUUUGGAAAUGAUUUUAGAAAGAGUAAGCGGCAGUCUGUGACCACCAGCUUCCUGAGCAUCCUGACCACGCUGUCUGUAGAGAGGGGGCUCACAGUUCAGAGCUUCAAGUGUGCAGGCUGUCAGCGCUCCAUAGGCUUGUCCAAUGGGAAGGCCAAAGUGUGCAGCUACAGUGGAUGGUAUUACUGCAGUACCUGCCAUGUGGAUGACAGCUUCCUCAUCCCUGCACGGCUGGUUCAUAACUGGGAUACUUCCAAGUACAAGGUAUCAAAGCAAGCCAAAGAGUUCUUGGAAUAUGUGUAUGAGGAGCCAUUGAUUGAUAUUCAGCAGGAAAAUCCCAUGCUGUAUAAGCACGCUGAACCUCUGGCAACCAUUGUCCGUCUGAGACAGCAGCUAAAAUCUCUGCGAGCCUAUUUGUUCAGCUGCAGAGCAGCAGUGGCUGAAGAUUUGCGUAGAAGGAUCUUUCCCAGAGAGUAUCUUCUCCAGCAAAUCCAUCUUUAUUCUCUGGCGGACCUCCAGCAGGUUAUUGAAGGAAAGUUGGCUCCUUUCUUGGGGAAGGUGAUCAAGUUUGCCACGUCUCAUGUGUAUAGCUGCAGUCUUUGUAGUCAAAAGGGUUUCAUCUGUGAGAUUUGCAACAAUGGAGAAAUCCUCUAUCCCUUUGAGGACAUUUCUACAAGCAGGCACCUUUGGACUUCAUCCCCAUGAUGAAAUGGCUGCAAGCAGUGGGUUAAUGUUUGAUCAGGACCACACAAGCUGCAUGGAAAAACCAUGUGCAAGACCUUCUUCCUCCUUAUUUGCUUUACAAGAAACCACUGCAUCCUAGUUGGAAAUGCACCCGGGAGUGAAAGGGGCGUCCGUGAGGACACAUGCUGCCAGCCCCUGCCCCGUCCUUGGGGCUAGAGCCAUGAGCAGGGCCGGGCCAGGCUUCCAAGCAGACCUGUCAGGCGUGUUGGAGCUUCAUGAACGCCUCUGCACAAGGAUUAAAGAGAACGUUAUGGGAAAGUCAGGCCUAAGCAAUGCUGCUGCACUAUUGCACUGUGGGAAACAGCAGCUCAGGACAGGGCAGCAGCCCUCCCAGCGCUGAGCUCUGAACAGGGCAGGCUGCCCACACAUGGCUGCCAGCCCCACUGUGCAAGCUCUUACCUCAAUUGCUCUUGUGGCCUCUUCUGCUUGCUCAGGUUAGUCUUGAUGCCUAUAUUCUUAUUCAGAAGCAAUGUUCUUGACAUUUAUUCCAUCCCUGAAGUGCCUGUCCUCUUAACUGCCAAACCCACACUGAAGUAGUUCUCAUAAAAUUCCCUUAGAAACAAAAUACAGUCUCCAUACACAAAGUUAGGGGCCCGCUGAAUCCCAAGGGACAGAUGUAGCCCAGAAAGAGUGAUUUACUCCCCAUACGGAUGACAAACACACAAUGCUUGUAUUAUUCUUGAUGGGUCAUGAUGUAGCUACUGUCUAAGCAAACUAUUUUCCUACCAUUUGAGGAGUACUACCCUGGAACUGAAUGCAGCCAGAGGUUAGCUCACCACAGAUUAAAUAUUGUUCAGAUGCUGGGUAGCAAGAAACAAGCAUUCCUGUCACAAGAUACAUCAUUCCUGUAGCUGAACAGAGGGAGCAGAGGUAGGUAACAUUCACUUUAAUUCUACUAUGAUUCCAAUUUUUAUUUUGCCUUUGUAAGAACAGAACCGCCAACACAUUAAGAAUAGCAGAAGUUACAGGGUGUCUCCUGUUCAGCUCACAGCAGACCCACCUAAACAGAAUUUUCUCUGAAACUGUCCUUCCCCUCAAAUGUGCUCUGUAAGUUUUACUUUUUAUUGGUUACUUAAGAAAUGCUGUAAGUUUGUUUUUCAGGCUUUCUUUCAGAUAGACUAGAAUGUGAAAUGUUAAAGGGAAUUGCUGUUUUCACUCUCUUAAGAGGUCACGUUGUAGUCGAGCUCUAUUUAGCAUCUGCUGAACAGAUCAAAAUCCUAUUGACUAAGUGCUCUGGGCUAAGCUACAGAAAAACUGGAGCCAGUUAAGGCUCUAGACAAAAUUAAGUUAGGAGCAGCAGUCUCCUGGAAGACAGAAUACAGAAGCAGCUGUCAGCUUGAGUUGUCAUUUACCUGCCAGCCAGAUCAGCAGGAAGAGCCUUCAUCUCCUUUGGCAAAAAGGUAAAGGCCUGCCACGAGUUGCUGCUGUGCACCUUGGAGCUGAAUGGCUGUAUCUGCAAAAACCAUGUGCCAACCCACAGUGAAGUGAAUCCAGACUGACCUCACAAAGUUGAGGGCACCUGGCAGUGCUAAGGAAAGAAAAGCUCAUUAGCAAUUAGGUCACAAGUCAAUCCAGGAGUUGGUCACUCAUAGCUUCCAAUUUAGCACUCCUCAAGGGAGGACUUAAAAACAUAAAAUCACCUCCAGACAGAUUCACCCUACUUAAAGUCAUUUAUGUGCAAAGAAACUGUCAGUGAUUAGUUAACUGGAGCAGCCCAAGUCCGAUUCCAAGUGGAAGCGACGCAGGGGAAUAGCUGGGCAGCCACAUAAGGCUCCUGCCACUCCUUCAGCGGAAGCUGGCUGCCAGGGCCCUGCCCGAUGCUGCAGACCAAGCAGCUCGAAGUUGCCAAAUGACCUCUGCUGCUGGCUCCAGAGACGUUCACAAGUAACUGCAGUAAAAUGAACACAAGGUGCUGAUACAGGGAAAGGGGAAGGCCCUAACGCACACCGCUGAUCCCCCGCCCCCUUUUUCCGUAACUUGAAAGAAACUGCAUAGCACCAAAUACUUGUGAGGGGAAUGAAAUCAGACAACUGUACAGAACACACAAUUUACCUUUAUCUUUAAUUAAAAUAGAGUUUAUUAGCUUUUCUUUUAAUACAAACAUGAGAAAGGAAAACCACCUGAAGAUGUAGCAGUAUUUUCAAAAUUGAAUUGUGAUCAAUACCUGAAGUGCCAAGUUCCAUGGAUUUGAGAGCCAGGGGCUGGCAUAUUUGCAUACCACAAAAGACUUUAUGCAUCAUUUUAACAGUUGAGUGCAGCCAAACUGAUUAUUGCACUCAGACACCCCCACUCUCAAAAGUGUAUGGACUUGCUAUUCAGUGUAAGUUUCUGGACCUUGGCUGGAAGAGGAAGUGCACAGAAACCAUGCCAUUUGGAGGGAGAUCUGCUCCUAGGACAAACUGCCUAGAAUCUAUUUGGAUCCAAGAAGGGAAGAUAUCACAAAGACUUGUAACAGGAAGAGUCUAAUAAUACUUAUCCUGUUUAGAGUUCAGGUUCAGAGCCUGAAAGUGAGGUCCCAUUCCAAAGUCUCAGAACAAAACCCAAGCCUCAAGAACAUUUGCGCAAGAUAAAAUUCACUUUGGGGAAAAAAAGGUUUUAAAGAAAUAUUUUUGACAAUUAU
Molecule: RNA transcript, 5149 nt
Organism: Oxyura jamaicensis (ruddy duck)
Lineage: Eukaryota; Metazoa; Chordata; Aves; Anseriformes; Anatidae
Gene: PLEKHM3
Gene name: pleckstrin homology domain containing M3
Exons: 10
Source: RefSeq, a predicted model, not a curated record